Molecule: long non-coding RNA, 240 nt
Filed under: Panax ginseng (ginseng)
Lineage: Eukaryota; Viridiplantae; Streptophyta; Magnoliopsida; Apiales; Araliaceae
Description: long non-coding RNA (PGIN_LNC000581)
Source: RNAcentral
CUUCGCUGGUCAUCUUCCUCCUCCUCUUCGCCGGUGAGACCCAAUUUCAUGUCUAAAACAAAAUAAAAACACUGCAUAGGAAAGAGAGAGAUAAAAGAGUGAUGUGUAAUGUAAUAUUGAUAACCAAACCUUCUUAAAAAAGGUAACCAAAAUUUUAUACCAAGGUAACUAAAUCUUUAUACCAAGGUAACCAAUCUAUCUCCACACCUGCAGUAUGAAUUGGUUACCUUGGUCUGAAAG